RNAcentral lists this long non-coding RNA (965 nucleotides) under Marmota monax (woodchuck). The stretch from base 543 to 603 matches the Rfam family "tRNA", at positions 6 to 65 of the family's 71-position model. Lineage: Eukaryota; Metazoa; Chordata; Mammalia; Rodentia; Sciuridae. The record is from RNAcentral.
AUCGAACCCAGUGUCUUACACAUUAGAGGCAAGUGCUCCACCACUGAGCUAUAGCCCCAGCCCCAUAGAAUUUUAAAUUAACUAGAAUUUAGUCACACUUAUCACAAUUCAAAAGCUCAGUAGUCACCAUGGCUGGUGGUCACCACAUUGGGUAACAUAGUUAGAGAACAUUCCUAUUGUUUUAGCAGGUACAGUUGGGCAGCGUUGCUCUAGAUUAUUUGUCCAGCUUAUGAUAAUCUUUUCUUCUAUCUAAUCCCCAGGAGUAGAGCCUUAGCUUCUGUCAAAUCAAAUUUUAAAAUUGUUUGCCUCUUUUCCAGGUACAGUGGUGCAGGCCUGGAAUCCCAGUGACUCAGGAAAUUGAGGCAGGAGGAUCACAAGUUUGAGGCCAGCCUCAGCAACUUAGUAAGACCCCGUCGUAAAAUUAAAAUAAUAAAAAGGGCUUGGGAUAUAGCUCAGUGGUAAAGUGCCCCUGUUUUCAGUCUGUAGUACCAGAAAAAAAAAUUGUUUGCCCCACUUAAAAGUCUUCUAUGAGGGGUUAGGAUUGUGGCUCAGAGAUAGAGUGCUCACCUAGCAUGUGUGAGGAUCUGGGUUCGAUCCUCAGCACCACAUAAAAGUAAAAAAUAAAGAUAUUGUGCCCACCUAUAACUAAAAAAUAUUUUAAAAAGUCUGUGGUUGCUCAUAUUAUAAUAGGGGUUCACUUGAUGCUUCGACUACUUCCCUUGUGGGGAGAUGUAGUCCCCCACAACCUUUUCUCCCUGAUCAUCUUCCCCCAUCUUCUUUUCCCUAAUCUUCUCCUUCCUGAUCUUUUCCUCCCUGAUCUUCUUUCCCCUGAUCUUCUCCUUCCUGAUCUCUCCUCCCUAAUCUCAUUUUCUCUGAAUCACCUCUAUAAAAGCCCCCUAUUCCUGCUGAUGGGCAGAAUCUCAGCUCUUGGGGCAAGAGUCCCCUGUGUUUCUCCUUUGCUAGCA